CUGGACAAAUCUCCUUGUGCGGGUGAAAAAUAUGCAGCUGCCCAAGUCAGUUUCUUCAGUUAUCUCCAUGACUGGUGAAUGCCCCAGCUUUCCCCAUUGGACCGACAGUGUUGUUUUCCUCACACCCAAAAUACUUCCCAUUUCCUCCCACUGCUUUCAUUGGGGAAAAGGAAACGCAUUUGAGAGAAGGAUCAACAGAUCCAACAGGGUCAUCCAGGACACAGGAAACAACAGGAUCCUCCUUAAAUGGGCUCUACAACUCUGACCUUCAAACGGCUGACUUUUUCACGGUAUUGGAGGAUCUCUCAAAUUUUGCCUACUGGGAGAAGCUGUUCCAGAUCACUCGAAGGUAACUUCC
Long non-coding RNA from Cavia porcellus (domestic guinea pig), 358 nucleotides. RefSeq lists it as uncharacterized. Lineage: Eukaryota; Metazoa; Chordata; Mammalia; Rodentia; Caviidae. The record is from RefSeq and is a predicted model, not a curated record. The transcript is spliced from 3 exons.